GGGUGAGUAACGCGUAUCCAACCUGCCCGCCACUUGGGGAUAACCUUGCGAAAGUAAGACUAAUACCCAAUGAUAUCUCUAGAAGGCAUCUGAAAGAGAUUAAAGAUUUAUCGGUGAUGGAUGGGGAUGCGUCUGAUUAGCUUGUUGGCGGGGUAACGGCCCACCAAGGCAACGAUCAGUAGGGGUUCUGAGAGGAAGGUCCCCCACAUUGGAACUGAGACACGGUCCAAACUCCUACGGGAGGCAGCAGUGAGGAAUAUUGGUCAAUGGACGAGAGUCUGAACCAGCCAAGUAGCGUGCAGGAAGACGGCCCUAUGGGUUGUAAACUGCUUUUAUAAGGGAAUAAAGUGAGUCUCGUGAGACUUUUUGCAUGUACCUUAUGAAUAAGGACCGGCUAAUUCCGUGCCAGCAGCCGCGGUAAUACGGAAGGUCCGGGCGUUAUCCGGAUUUAUUGGGUUUAAAGGGAGCGUAGGCCGGAGAUUAACCGUGUUGUGAAAUGUAGAUGCUCAACAUCUGAACUGCAGCGCGAACUGGUUUCCUUGAGUACGCACAAAGUGGGCGGAAUUCGUGGUGUAGCGGUGAAAUGCUUAGAUAUCACGAAGAACUCCGAUUGCGAAGGCAGCUCACUGGAGCGCAACUGACGCUGAAGCUCGAAAGUGCGGGUAUCGAACAGGAUUAGAUACCCUGGUAGUCCGCACGGUAAACGAUGGAUGCCCGCUGUUGGUCUGAAUAGGUCAGCGGCCAAG
Molecule: ribosomal RNA, 746 nt
Filed under: uncultured bacterium
Lineage: Bacteria
Description: bacterial SSU rRNA
Rfam family: Bacterial small subunit ribosomal RNA
Source: RNAcentral